RNAcentral lists this non-coding RNA (134 nucleotides) under uncultured eukaryote. The record is from RNAcentral.
GCGUAAUAUAUAUUUGAGGCACUAAAUAAAAUGCAGCGCUCCAUAAGUCUAUCUUUACAACAGACCAUGCAGGAUCUAUUCAAAGCUGCAGAGGCCUCGGAGUUUCUUGAACCCUUUGUUGACAUGACCGGCUG